This 318-nucleotide long non-coding RNA is filed under the name Vitis vinifera (wine grape). RNAcentral's name for it is "long non-coding RNA (VVIN_LNC003443)". The record is from RNAcentral. Lineage: Eukaryota; Viridiplantae; Streptophyta; Magnoliopsida; Vitales; Vitaceae.
CUAGCUUCAUUCUUGUGUCCAUCCAAUGAAAACUUUAGGUUUAAAGAUAUAUCCUGUAUAUCUCUCAAGGAAUCUCCUGGUGAAUCUGUAUCUGAAUUUUCAGUUCCAUCAUCAGUUCUUUGCCACUGUGGAUGCCUUGGUUUGCAACUGGCUAUUUUAGUUAGAUAAGUCUUGCAAUGCUCUGGCCAUGAGAAGAGAUGAAUAUUUUUCAACCCAUUCUGUCGACAUUUUGCCCAAAGCUGCUUAUCUGCUACAAGCUUUAGAAGAGCAUCGGCAAUAGACUGCUGAUCAUGGGGAUCAACAAGAAGGCCAUUGUCA